AGAACGAACGCUGGCGGCAUGCCUAACACAUGCAAGUCGAACGCUUCCGGGGCUUCGGUCGCGGAGGAGUGGCGCACGGGUGAGUAGCGCGUGGGAACCUGCCCUGUUGUGGGGGAUAACCGAGGGAAACUUCGGCUAAUACCGCAUACGACCCGGGACUUGGUCUUCGGAUUAGGUCUGGGGGAAAGAUUGAUCGCAGCAGGAGGGGCCCGCGUCGGAUUAGCUGGUUGGUGGGGUAACGGCUCACCAAGGCGAUGAUCCGUAGCUGGUCUGAGAGGAUGAUCAGCCACACUGGGACUGAGACACGGCCCAGACUCCUACGGGAGGCAGCAGUGGGGAAUAUUGGACAAUGGGGGCAACCCUGAUCCAGCAAUGCCGCGUGAGUGAUGAAGGCCUUAGGGUUGUAAAGCUCUUUCGCCCGCGACGAUGAUGACGGUAGCGGGAGAAGAAGCCCGGCUAACUUCGCGCCAGCAGCCGCGGU
This 481-nucleotide ribosomal RNA is filed under the name uncultured bacterium. RNAcentral describes it as "SSU rRNA". It matches the Rfam family "Bacterial small subunit ribosomal RNA", at positions 26 to 521 of the family's 1533-position model. The record is from RNAcentral.